UACGGGAGGAAGCAGUGGGGAAUUUUGGACAAACGGGGGAAACCAGGUCCAGCCAUGCCGCGUGCGGGAAGAAGGCCUUCGGGUUGUAAAGUGCUUUUGGACGGAAAGAAAAGGCGCACCCUAAUACGGGGCGUUCUUGACGGUACCGGCAGAAUAAGCACCGGCUAACUACGUGCCAGCAGCCGCGGUAAUACGUAGGG
This 200-nucleotide ribosomal RNA is filed under the name uncultured bacterium. Its description in RNAcentral is "partial 16S ribosomal RNA". It matches the Rfam family "Bacterial small subunit ribosomal RNA", at positions 340 to 532 of the family's 1533-position model. The record is from RNAcentral.